GAGAGAAAGAAGUGGAGUAUUUUUUUAAGGGGCUCUUGUGGCUGGGGAAGUUCCAGUCAGUCCAAAUUAGAUGAGUUUCUAGGUGUCUGCCUGGGUAUCCACCAGGAAAAUGCUGUUUCUGCCUUUAGACCCUUCCCUUCCAUCCAUCUCUGCACUCCUGGUGGUCUGUCCUCACCCACUCUCUGUGAUUUUCCUUCUCCCAGGCCUCCUCUUCCCAAGAUUCCUGAUCCUUUCUCUGCACUACUUUGCUCACCACUCCCUCCCUGCCACCCCCAGGAGGGAAACUCCUCUGCUCUGAAAGCAGGAACUGGCACUGGAGGCAAGCAGCACUGAGCAACCCAAGGGAUGUGGGAGAGGGCCAGCUGGAGGCUGCCAUGGCAACAGCUGGAUCUCCUUCAUCCCUCUCACCCUGCUUCCCUGCUGAUUACACUGAAACAACAGAAAAAAUAACAGUUGCUGGGAAUCAAAGAACCCUCUUCCUCCACGAAAUCACCUGGCCUCUUUCCACGCUUCCCAAAGCAAAUCUCUGGCAUCCUUGCUGCUGGUACAACAAUCUUGUGACUCUUCCUUGUACAUGGCAAGCAAAAAAGGGUUUGGUUUGCUUGCCCUUGAUGGGAAGACCUUUCUGUGCGCUUCUCCUGUGAUCUUUGAGCUCAGUGACAGAGCUGGGGCCAAAAAAAUAUCUCUGGAGGUGACUAUGACUCUUUGGGGGCUGUUCCAUGAGAAGAAUCCCCUGGGAGGAUCCAGGGUUUGGACCCAGAAGAGGUUUUGGUGGUGCUGCUUCUCCUGUGACAGCUCAGAGGAGAAGCAAGCCCAGCUCUUUGUCACAGGUCAUCAAUUCUCAGAACCUUACCUGUGCCCACAGACAUGUUCAAAUCUACCUGGUAUCACCCAGCACAGGUUUAUAUGUUUUGAUAAACUCAAGGGUUUGGUGACCAUUCUUUGUGACUCAUGUGGAGUGGCUGCCCCCAGCCUGCUUUCUGCAACUCCUUCCUCUGGAUUUUUUGCUCUUAAAAUGGGAAAGAUCAUAAUUUUCCAUGUAUGGCUGUUCCUGACAUGAGUCCUACAGGAUCAUCGUGGCAAAGGACACCUGAUCUCCAUCCAUUCCAGCAAGGAGAAGCUGUGCAGGCUACAGACUUGAUGCUGGGAGAUGGGAACCUUGUUAAUUAAAAUGUCAGUGACUCAAAUCCCCUUAAGGUGAGAGAGAGCUGCAUUUUUUAUUACCAUUGCUGUUAAUGAUACAGUUGGCUGGUACCUUGUAGAGGCAUAAUGCAUUUCACUUACCUUGACAAGGUCUGCCCACUCUGCCUGC
RNAcentral lists this long non-coding RNA (1312 nucleotides) under Ficedula albicollis (Collared flycatcher). RNAcentral's name for it is "lncRNA (ENSFALG00000028759.1)". The record is from RNAcentral. Lineage: Eukaryota; Metazoa; Chordata; Aves; Passeriformes; Muscicapidae.